UUUUUUUUUUUUUUUUUUUUUUGGUUUUAAGUACUAAGCAGGUUUCAUUCUACACUUGAACUUUACCAACAUAACUUAAUUUAAGUUAUGAUAAUAAUAAAUUUUCUAAAAGUUAUACACAAAACAUGGAAUGAUAAAUAUAAUUAAAAUAUCAUAAUUCACCACAAGUUUUCAUAAAUUCAUUAUAAACAUAAAUAGAUACAAUCCAAAUGUGCACCAAUUAUCACAAAUAAAAACACAAAAAAUAAAUUAAUUAAAUAUUGAAAUUCUUUUACAACCCUUAAAAAAAUCCAUAAAAGAGUUCAAGUUAAGACAAACUAUUUGAAUAGCAAACUUUUAUCAGUGGCAUGAUAAGCAACCACACCACCUUCACAAUUUCAUCAACUUAAGCUGAAAAAGUUAAAAUUUUAUUAUAAAAAUAUAAAUCUAAUUGCUCAAACUAAAAAAAACUAAAAAUUUUUGAAAAACAAAUAUACAGUUAAACACAUAAAAAAUUAAUUGCUACUAAACAUUACUAAUUAACAUGUUAUAUUAAAUUCAAUGAUCCUAUACCAUUAAUUAUUUUAAAUUCAAUUAUCAAUAGCUUCGAUUAUGUGCCAACUACCAUAUUUUUGACCAACCCAAUGUUAUUAUUUGUAAUUCCUACCCAAUUCCUACACGGAUGUGCACUACUUUUGCAAAAAUUUUAUCCUUAAUUAAUCGAAUAAAAAUAAAACAAAAAUGAGGGAAACAUAUGAAAAUUGAGGGGAAAAAGAAGAAAAUGCAAAAAAUCAACUAAAGAUAAUAAUAUAGAAAAAAACCUUGAAAAGAAAAAAAUUAAACUUACUAAAAUGUUGGAAAACAAGAAAAGUUGAAAUUUUCAACUUGUUUACAAUCUGCUAAAGAUAAUAACCAGAUAAUAAUGGUGAAGACUUGAGAAAAUCUUGUUGUGGAUAUUUGGGUUAAAAAUGGUUAAGAAGAAAAAAUUGAAAAAAAAAAAUAAGAGAAGAACCUGAUGUUUUAAUAUAUUUUUUAGUCAAGUAGAAUUCUCAACAAACUUAAGUACAGUCCAGCGGUAAGAUUGUCAUAUUUAAACUUAGAGACCCAGGUUCGAAUCUUAGCUACACCAUUCUUGAUAUUUUGUUGAAGAAUUUAAAAAACCGCCGGUUCACGGUUCUUAACGGUUCGCACGGUUCGUCCGGUUCGUCCGGGUUUCAACGGUUCUCCAUGAACUUCCGGCUUUAGCAUUAGAUCGGACCGGUGACAUGGCCGGUUCGCGGUCCAACCGGUCGAACCGGCCGGUCCGGUCCGGUUCUGAAAACAUUGAUUUUAAUUCGUACAAAGACUAUCGCAAAAUAAGCCUUGGCAAAGUUUCUACAACCAAUAACAAAGACCUUUCCUAACCGGCAAACCACGUGACCCCUCAAGAGUCGGACAACAAUAAAUAAAUAAAUAAAUAAAGACCAAUAGAUUCUUCUGUUCUCUAACCUCACCCAGCCAAGGCAUUAAGUAAAGGUUCUCAUCUUUGCAAACAGCCUAAUUCUCAUUCAAUAUCCUGAACAUAAUAAAUGAAUAAAACUCCUCAACUAUUACACCACAAAGUGACAAAUUGCACCAAUAAGAUCCUAAUACUUUCUUUUGCAACACUAAUUGAAACCCCAAAAUAAUUUUUAGGCCAACCUAAGAAUAGGGAAACCUAUUCUUAAAAUCAUGAUUAGUUAAUUCGAAAUUAGGGUUCAUAUCUACCCCUAUCACUACUCUCAUCCUUCACCAUCCAUCCAACAUUGACAAAAUCGUGUAUGAACUAUGUGAAAAUGACAUGCAGUUUCUAUUUAUUAUGCUUGAAAUCAACAAAAAUAGAGCAAAUUUCAAUUUAUAGAUACCCAAAAGCAUACCUUUUAGUAAUAAAGUAGUGUCAUCAGGUGAUUACUUUAAACCAGCAACCUAUCUCUAGUCUACAAACUGUGAAUUUCACUUUGUCAGUUUCACCGGCGUCACAUCUUUCCUUCUUCUCAGUGGCAUGAAUUUCUCUCCUCUCCUUCUCAUAGCGUUUCCAAGCUGCUAUGCUUCCUAUUUGAAGAGCGCAACUUUUGAAUCUAUUUUUCUUUUUAAAAUUUUUUUUGUUUUAAAUAGUGGACCUUUUUUUUAACGGCGUUUACAUCUAUUUCCUCAUUUUUCACUUUCUUUUCUAUUGCCCUAAACGACAAUAUUCUUUUAAAGUGGUUGCUGGCUUAAUCUAAACCAUCAGUCUACCAACUUUAAAUUCAAGCCAUAAAAUUGUGUCAACUGGAAAGUGCCUCAGAUUGAGAGAGUUUCGGAUCCAUGAAUGAACAACUAGGUAAGAAAUAGAACAAAGGAACAACCAAAGACACAUAGAAGUUUGAAAUUAGCCCCAAGCAAAGAGACAUAUAGUAUUAGGGUUGUGAAUUACCUAUCUUAAAGCUUACUUAAGGAUAUUUUCUUAGGAUUUAAUGCUACUAAUUCUGCUUGUUAUCCCCUCUUCAAAUCUUCUUGAGUCCCGUCCAAUCCUCUCGUUGAUGCUUAAGAUGUCCAACCAGCUUGUACUAAGUAUUUUGUAAUACUGAGCGAAUGUAUCCUUAUAUUAUAUAAGAUUGAGUUUUGGUCAAAUAGGGGGUUGAAUUUCAACCGCAUGAUAGGGGUUUUUUGGGAAUGUGGGAUGUUGUGUGGUUUUCUUAAAACUUUUGGUACAACUGAGGGAAGCAUGUAUUUGGUUAUGUUUACCGAAAUAUCCUUAUUUUGGUACAUUAAAAGUUUUGAUUUAUAUAGGCAUCUGGGUAUUUCUGGAAGAUAAAAUUAUUUUGUAACCAUUUUUGCACCGUGUACAACUCAUAUAUGCUUAUAUGUUGGUAUAAUUACUGGAAUGGUAUUAUAGAUACAUUUAAUUUAAUUGUGGCUUUUAUUGUGCAAUUAAAACAAAGACAUGUUGCUAUAACUACUCGUUUGAGGUUAUUUCUUUGUUUGAAACAACUUGGCUGAUCGUUUCCCAACUCAUAUGAGCUCACGUCUAAAACAACCCAUUCCUUUUCCCAUUUACAUCUAAUUAAAUAGCCAAAAACAUGGGUAUUGAAUGAAUAAACGGCUGAGCAUCGUUAUGGUUGUUUCAAUGCUUCCCCUUUCACCUUCUUCAGUUUCUCCCCUUUCGGCUUCUGGAAUUGGGAUAUUUUUUGCAGCCUUUAUACUAAACAUCUCGGAAUGGUUUUCAGCCGCAGCUAUUCGUGGUGGUUUAGCUUGAGAUUAGAUUUGUUCCUCAAUUUUGUUGUUUAUGUGGGUGGUUCUUGUGGUUUGUAGCAUCAAUGUGUGGUCAGAUCCUAAAUUUGAAACUUUGGUUGUGUAGUUUAGCUGCAAGAUAAAGAUUUUUGCACAGACCCUUUCGGCUUCUGGAAUUGGGAUAUUUUUUGCAGCCUUUAUACUAAACAUCUCGGAAUGGUUUUCAGCCGCAGCUAUUCGUGGUGGUUUAGCUUGAGAUUAGAUUUGUUCCUCAAUUUUGUUGUUUAUGUGGGUGGUUCUUGUGGUUUGUAGCAUCAAUGUGUGGUCAGAUCCUAAAUUUGAAACUUUGGUUGUGUAGUUUAGCUGCAAGAUAAAGAUUUUUGCACAGAAUCGGUGUCCUCUGAGAUUUAACUGGUUUGCUUAUAAUGAUAGGUUCGGAGCAACUUUAAGAAAAAACUUUCCAGGAGGUAUUUGGAACAAGGUCAGCUUUCUAGGGUACUCUAGCUUACUACAUUAAUCCGGUCAUGGUGUGUUUUCUGCUAUAUGAAAUAAGAGAUUCACUUCCUCUUUCCUUUUGGGAAUAGCCAGUAGGAGGACAGAAAUCCAUCGAUGUAAGGCAGGGCAGAAGAACGACUAGGAUCUUAUAGAGUUUUUGGCUUUCAAGCAUUUUUCUCGCUCGUUUUGUUAGAGAAAGUGAAUGGUUUGCUUGAUGAGGGAAGAGAUGAGCUAGCUAUUUGCUUUCUUAGAAAACUAAGCGACUAAUUUACUGUUGAGAGGUCAGAAAUUCCUACAACAAACUCUUUCUUUUUCUUUUAGUGACAUAGUGAACCUUCUUGCUAAAUAAGUAGCCAACAGGGAAUAUCCCUUUAAUGGGAAUACGGCUACCUGCCUUUCUUCCUACGCUGGCUAAGCAAAUUAGUCCUCAACUAAAAAAGGAAGGUUCUACCAGGGUUGGGGUUAGCCAUUCCUGUUAGCCUUGAUGAGCUCCUCUUUGCUUUUAGGUAACUGUAGUCACUUGCUAAUUGAUUAUAAAGGUAAGCUUAUUCACCUUGACUUGUUUUUAUAGUUUACACACUUUUGUAUUGGCGCUUUUUACUUUAUGUAGGAUGAAUCUGAUUAAUUUCCUGAAUCACCAGCAGUUGACUUUGGGCAUUGAGUCCUUACUCCUUUCGACAAGAGCGCUUGCUUCUAUGACACCAUCGCCGGUACCGGCUGCUCCUCCGCACCAUGUCCUGGAUAUGCCAUUUAACAUUUGUACAGCAAACACGUUUUACAUAAAAUAUCAAACUCCAGCUUCUUUAACUAUUUCUUCUCAAAUUAUCUCUCUAAUUAUAGGCACCAAACACUCGCGCGAUGCGCGAGCACUCCCCCCUAGUAUUAAUUAUACUAGAAUGAUGUCCUGAAUUGUGUAUAAGUGGUCUGAAUUCAUUUAUGUCGGUAUUUUGAGAGAUUGGGAUGAUGGGAUCUAUGAGAACUUGUAAACCUUUUGAAAGUUUAAAAUUUUGAAAGCUUUGAAGAUUUUUUCAAAGAUUUUUAGAAAACUCUUACCAAGGAUGGAAAUACUUUCUUUUCAAGAGAGAGAAACUCUCUUUGGAGAGAGAAUCCAUUGUACGACUUAUUUUUGGUCUAGGCAUCAAUAGAAAAAAAACUAUUUUAAAAUUCAGCAGACAAAGAAAAAAAAUUAGGGAAUGAAAAUGCUAAUUGCAAAGACAUAUGAAAUAGAUGAAUUCAACAAAUUAGCCUAAAAUAAAAUCUAAAUACAAGGAGAAAAAAAUAUCAUUGAACAUGAAAGAAAGUGUACAGUUAAGAAUAAGAUGGAGAGCAGUUAAGAUUGAGAAUAUAGAGAAAUGAAACGAAGAAUCAUGGGAUUCAGGAUUUUAGGAUUUGCUUUCUUCUCCAAUAUACUGGAAUUGCUCAAUUCCUGUGGCAUCAACAAAUUUGUUAAUUCUAGCGCUCAGUAAUGGGGAUUACUUUGUUGAUUGGGUCGACGUGAUGAUAAAUUUAUACGGUCACAAUAUACCCUAUGCAUUUAUUGGGUAACUAAUAUAACAUUUGUCCCUGUACUUAAUUUCUUAAUUCAUGCUUUAUUUUAAAAGGCCUCAUUCAGGGAGUGGAACACCCAGUUGCUAUAAUUCUUGUCUAUGUAUAUGCAGAGGAAAACCAUAAAUGUGAACAUGCACGGCAAACUAUGAGCGCUAGGGCGCUAACUCGAAAAAAAUUUUAUUAUGGGGAAAAAAUUAAAGACGUUUCUUGUUCAUAAAAUCAUAUUCACCUCUCAAGAAGGUGCUUAUUAAUUUCCACAAUCUGCCCAUGUAUGCUAAUGCUAGUGAAAAAUGAUUUCUAGUUCAGGUCACUGUUGAAAAUGAUUUCAUAAAAGGGAAAACACUGCAAUUAGAGGUAAAUUAGUGACACGAAAUGGUUUUCUUUUUACUAAAACAAAAAAAAAAGGUACAAAAUAUCUGAAGGUUUUAAUUAAGCAGAUAUUGCGGGCGGUAAGUAUAACUUAAAGAAAGAUAAACGCAGUGAUCAGUACAUAGAAUUUACUCAAUUAAAAGUUUCCUCUUUUCAUUUUACUCAUUUUAGUAAAUGUACUCCAGAUGACAAAAUUUGUGUGUCCUAACUACGUUACCUACUGUAUGAGCUGUAAACUAUUUCUUUACUAGUAUACAACCUCUGACUUAGACGCUCAUGUAAAGUAUUCCAUCAUCUGGUAACAGGAGUUCC
This 5931-nucleotide long non-coding RNA is filed under the name Coffea arabica (coffee). Its description in RNAcentral is "long non-coding RNA (CARA_LNC001861)". Lineage: Eukaryota; Viridiplantae; Streptophyta; Magnoliopsida; Gentianales; Rubiaceae. The record is from RNAcentral.